UGAGUAACACGUGGAUAACCUACCUAUAAGACUGGGAUAACUUCGGGAAACCGGAGCUAAUACCGGAUAAUAUUUUGAACCGCAUGGUUCAAAAGUGAAAGAACGGUCUUGCUGUCACUUAUAGAUGGAUCCGCGCUGCAUUAGCUAGUUGGUAAAGUAACGGCUUACCAAGGCAACGAUGCAUAGCCGACCUGAGAGGGUGAUCGGCCACACUGGAACUGAGACACGGUCCAG
Molecule: ribosomal RNA, 234 nt
Filed under: uncultured Staphylococcus sp.
Lineage: Bacteria; Bacillati; Bacillota; Bacilli; Caryophanales; Staphylococcaceae
Description: partial 16S ribosomal RNA
Rfam family: Bacterial small subunit ribosomal RNA
Source: RNAcentral